This 357-nucleotide ribosomal RNA is filed under the name uncultured bacterium. RNAcentral's name for it is "bacterial SSU rRNA". It matches the Rfam family "Bacterial small subunit ribosomal RNA", at positions 32 to 365 of the family's 1533-position model. The record is from RNAcentral.
AAUCAACGCUGGCGGCGUGCCUCAGACAUGCAAGUCGAACGCGAAACCUUCCUUCGGGAGGGGAGUAGAGUGGCGCACGGGUGAGUAACACGUAGGUAAUUUGCCUUCGGGUGGGGAAUAACAGCCGGAAACGGCUGCUAAUACCGCAUAAUGCAGCGGCUCGACAUCGAGACAGUUGUUAAAGCGGGGGAUUCGCAAGAACCUCGCGCCUGAAGAGAAGCCUGCGGCAGAUUAGCUAGUUGGUAGGGUAAUGGCCUACCAAGGCGACGAUCUGUAACCGGCCUGAGAGGGCGGUCGGUCACACUGACACUGACAUACGGGUCGAGACUCCUACGGGAGGCAGCAGUCGGGAAUUUU